Molecule: ribosomal RNA, 495 nt
Filed under: uncultured bacterium
Lineage: Bacteria
Description: bacterial SSU rRNA
Rfam family: Bacterial small subunit ribosomal RNA
Source: RNAcentral
AUGCAGUUGAGCGGUAAGGCCCCUUCGGGGGUACACGAGCAGCGAACGGGCGAGUAUCGCGUGGGUAAUCUACCUAGAGGUGGGGGAUAGCCUCGGGAAACCGAGGGUAAUACCGCAUGAGUCCUCAACGGCAUAAGUCGAUGAGGGGAAAGGCGGGGCUCCUUCGGGACCUGUCGCCUCCGGAUGAGCCCGCGUCCGAUUAGCUAGUUGGUGGGGUAAUGGCCUACCAAGGCAGCGAUCGGUAGCCGGCCUGAGAGGGUGAACGGCCACAUUGGGACUGAGACACGGCCCAGACUCCUACGGGAGGCAGCAGUGGGGAAUUUUGGGCAAUGGGGGAAACCCUGACCCAGCGACGCCGCGUGGAGGAUGACGGCCUUCGGGUUGUAAACUCCUGUCAGGUGGGAAGAAAAGCCAGUCGGAUAAUACCCGGCAGGAAUUGACGGUACCACCAAAGGAAGCCCCGGCUAACUCCGUGCCAGCAGCCGCGGUAAUACG